Molecule: ribosomal RNA, 253 nt
Filed under: uncultured bacterium
Lineage: Bacteria
Description: partial 16S ribosomal RNA
Rfam family: Bacterial small subunit ribosomal RNA
Source: RNAcentral
GACGGAGGAUGCAAGCGUUAUCCGGAAUGAUUGGGCGUAAAGCGUCCGCAGGUGGCAGUUCAAGUCUGCUGUCAAAGACCGGGGCUCAACCUCGGAAAGGCAGUGGAAACUGAACAGCUAGAGUAUGGUAGGGGCAGAGGGAAUUCCUGGUGUAGCGGUGAAAUGCGUAGAGAUCAGGAAGAACAUCGGUGGCGAAGGCACUCUGCUGGGCCGACACUGACACUGAGAGACGAAAGCUAGGGGAGCAAAUGGG